CCUACGGGAGGCAGCAGUGGGGAAUAUUGGGCACUGGGCGAAAGCCUGACCCAGCAACGCCGCGUGAAGGAAGAAGGCUUUCGGGUUGUAAACUUCUUUUGACAGGGAAGAGUAGAAGACGGUACCUGACGAAUAAGCCACGGCUAACUACGUGCCAGCAGCCGCGGUAAUACGUAGGUGGCAAGCGUUGUCCGGAUUUACUGGGUGUAAAGGGCGUGUAGCCGGGUUGACAAGUCAGAUGUGAAAUCCUGCGGCUUAACCGCAGAACUGCAUUUGAAACUGUUGAUCUUGAGUACUGGAGAGGCAGAUGGAAUUCCUAGUGUAGCGGUGAAAUGCGUAGAUAUUAGGAGGAACACCAGUGGCGAAGGCGGUCUGCUGGACAGCAACUGACGGUGAGGCGCGAAAGCGUGGGGAGCAAACAGGAUUAGAUACCCGUGUAGUC
This 442-nucleotide ribosomal RNA is filed under the name uncultured bacterium. RNAcentral's name for it is "partial 16S ribosomal RNA". It matches the Rfam family "Bacterial small subunit ribosomal RNA", at positions 338 to 795 of the family's 1533-position model. The record is from RNAcentral.